This is a small nuclear RNA of Lutra lutra (Eurasian river otter), 112 nucleotides long. Lineage: Eukaryota; Metazoa; Chordata; Mammalia; Carnivora; Mustelidae. The record is from RefSeq and is a predicted model, not a curated record.
GUGCUCGCUUCGGCAGCACAUAUACUAAAAUUGGAACGAUACAGAGAAGAUUAGCAUGGCCCCUGCGCAAGGAUUUAUAUUUCCCUGAUGCUGAGUGAUGUGGAGCAUUUUU